RNAcentral lists this unclassified non-coding RNA (596 nucleotides) under Hevea brasiliensis (rubber tree). The record is from RNAcentral. Lineage: Eukaryota; Viridiplantae; Streptophyta; Magnoliopsida; Malpighiales; Euphorbiaceae.
AUAUCUUCAAGGAGAGGAUGGACCUAGAGGGGCGCUGUUGGAAAACUAUCACGCCUGAGAUAAGAGAGUUUUACUAGGAUGAAUUUCAAGUAAUAAAAUAAAUAUUUAAAUAUAAUUAGCUAUCAAAUAACUAAUUUGCAUAGUUUAUGAAACCUCAAAAAAGAAUGUUAUGAACAAAUAUCAUUUAAGUGAUGAGAAUUUGUGAAUUAAUGUAAAAGAACACAAUUGAAGUAUAUUAAUGCUUAAAUGUUUUAUGUAUAGCUUGUGUGUUGAGGAUGUUGAAAAUAUAUAUUAUUGUGAGUUGUUGUAGUUGGGGUGGAUGUUGUUUGUUAUUGAGAAUAUAUGAAGUGUUUUUAACAGGUGCAAUUAAUGCCUAAUAACUAGGCUGGAUAGUCCAAAAUUAAAGGGAAAUGUUGUCAAUUUUUUUUUAAAAUAUUAUCAUCCUAAUACAGCUGUCUCAAUUUUUAUUUAUUUUACAACAAAAAUACUUUGAUUGUCAAGAGUUGACUUCACUCGUAAAUAAAGCUUAGAGGCAUAAGGCUGCAGAGUGCUACAAGGCGUUAAUGUGCAAGGUCAGGAAAGGAAAAUCCAAGGUC